GAUGAACGCUGGCGGCGUGCCUAAUACAUGCAAGUCGAGCGAACAGACGAGGAGCUUGCUCCUCUGACGUUAGCGGCGGACGGGUGAGUAACACGUGGAUAACCUACCUAUAAGACUGGGAUAACUUCGGGAAACCGGAGCUAAUACCGGAUAAUAUAUUGAACCGCAUGGUUCAAUAGUGAAAGACGGUUUUGCUGUCACUUAUAGAUGGAUCCGCGCCGCAUUAGCUAGUUGGUAAGGUAACGGCUUACCAAGGCAACGAUGCGUAGCCGACCUGAGAGGGUGAUCGGCCACACUGGAACUGGGACACGGUCCAGACUCCUACGGGAGGCAGCAGUAGGGAAUCUUCCGCAAUGGGCGAAAGCCUGACGGAGCAACGCCGCGUGAGUGAUGAAGGUCUUCGGAUCGUAAAACUCUGUUAUUAGUGAAGAACAAUUGUGUAAGUAACUAUGCACGUCUUGACGGUACCUAAUCAGAAAGCCACGGCUAACUACGUG
RNAcentral lists this ribosomal RNA (497 nucleotides) under uncultured bacterium. RNAcentral's name for it is "partial 16S ribosomal RNA". It matches the Rfam family "Bacterial small subunit ribosomal RNA", at positions 28 to 507 of the family's 1533-position model. The record is from RNAcentral.